Molecule: ribosomal RNA, 322 nt
Filed under: uncultured eukaryote
Lineage: Eukaryota
Description: partial 18S ribosomal RNA
Rfam family: Eukaryotic small subunit ribosomal RNA
Source: RNAcentral
CCCUUAGAUGUUCUGGGCCGCACGCGUGCUACACUGAACGGUUCAAUGGGUGAGGUAGUGCGAAAGCAUGACCCAAUCUCAAAAUCCGUUCGUGCUGGGGAUAGAAGCUUGCAAUUCUCCUUCUUGAACGAGGAAUACCUUGUAAGCGCGAGUCAUCAUUUCGCGCUGAAUACGUCCCUGCCCUUUGUACACACCGCCCGUCGCUCCUACCGAUUGAGUGGUCCGGUGAGGCUUCGGGAGAGCUAAAUGGAUUGUGUUUCACAAACUAUUUGGCUUGAACUUAGUCAAACCUUACUACUUAGAGGAAGGAGAAGUCGUAACA